GACGAACGCUGGCGGCGUGCUUAACACAUGCAAGUCGAACGGAAAGGCCCUGCUUUUGUGGGGUGCUCGAGUGGCGAACGGGUGAGUAACACGUGAGUAACCUGCCCUUGACUUUGGGAUAACUUCAGGAAACUGGGGCUAAUACCGGAUAGGAGCUCCUGCUGCAUGGUGGGGGUUGUGAAGUUUCGGCGGUUGGGGAUGGACUCGCGGCUUAUCAGCUUGUUGAUGGGGUAGUGGCUUACCAAGGCUUUGACGGGUAGCGGGCCUGAGAGGGUGACCGGCCACAUUGGGACUGAGAUACGGCCCAGACUCCUACGGGAGGCAGCAGUGGGGAAUAUUGCACAAUGGGCGGAAGCCUGAUGCAGCAACGCCGCGUGCGGGAUGACGGCCUUCGGGUUGUAACCCGCUUUCGCCUGUGACGAAGCGUGAGUGACGGUAAUGGGUAAAGAAGCACCGGCUAACUACGUG
Molecule: ribosomal RNA, 468 nt
Filed under: uncultured bacterium
Lineage: Bacteria
Description: partial 16S ribosomal RNA
Rfam family: Bacterial small subunit ribosomal RNA
Source: RNAcentral